UGGAAAUAGAAAACUCCAUGCCUCAGUGC
This 29-nucleotide non-coding RNA is filed under the name Rattus norvegicus (Norway rat). Lineage: Eukaryota; Metazoa; Chordata; Mammalia; Rodentia; Muridae. The record is from RNAcentral.